AACGAACGCUUUCUUCCUUCCUAACACAUUCAAGUCGAACGAGAACUUCGGGUCUAGUGGCGCACGGGUGCGUAACGCGUGGGAACUUGCCCUUAGGUUCGGAAUAACUCCCCGUAAGGGGUGCUAAUACAGGAUAAUGUCUUCGGACCAAAGAUUUAUCGCCUUUGGAUGGGCUCGCGUUGGAUUAGCUAGUUGGUAGGGUAAAAGCCUACCAAGGCGACGUUCCAUAGCUGGUCUGAGAGGAUGAUCAGCCCCACUGGGACUGAGACACGGCCCAGACUCCUACGGAAGGCAGCAGUAGGGAAUAUUGGACAAGGGGCGAAAGCCUGAUCCAGCAAUGCCGCGUGAGUGAUGAAGGACUUAGUGUUGUAAAGCUCUUUUACCCGGGAUGAGAAUGACAGUACCGGGAGAAUAAGCUAAGGAUAAAUCCGGG
Molecule: ribosomal RNA, 433 nt
Filed under: uncultured bacterium
Lineage: Bacteria
Description: partial 16S ribosomal RNA
Rfam family: Bacterial small subunit ribosomal RNA
Source: RNAcentral